AAUCAACGCUGGCGGCGUGCCUAACACAUGCAAGUCGAACGCGAAAGGGGACUUCGGUUCCUGAGUAGAGUGGCGUACGGGUGAGUAACGCGUGGGUCAUCUGCCCUCGGGUGGGAAUAACUAAUCGAAAGGUUAGCUAAUACCGCAUAACACAGUGAUGUCAAAGCAGCAAUGUGCCUGAGGAGGAGCCUGCGUCUGAUUAGGUAGUUGGUGGGGUAACGCCUACCAAGCCUGCGAUCAGUAGCUGGUCUGAGAGGACGGCCAGCCACAAUGGCACUGAAACACGGGCCAUACUCCUACGGGAGGCAGCAGUGGGGAAUUUUGGACAAUGGGCNCAAGCCUGAUCCAGCCAUGCCGCGUGCGGGAAGAAGGCCU
Molecule: ribosomal RNA, 375 nt
Filed under: uncultured bacterium
Lineage: Bacteria
Description: bacterial SSU rRNA
Rfam family: Bacterial small subunit ribosomal RNA
Source: RNAcentral